Molecule: ribosomal RNA, 393 nt
Filed under: uncultured bacterium
Lineage: Bacteria
Description: bacterial SSU rRNA
Rfam family: Bacterial small subunit ribosomal RNA
Source: RNAcentral
GUGUCAGCCGCCGCGGUAAAACGUAGGAGGCGAGCGUUAUCCGGAUUCACUGGGCGUAAAGCGCAUGUAGGUGGCUCGUCAAGUCGCCUGUGAAAGCCCCUGGCUUAACUGGGGGAGGUCAGGCGAAACUGACGGACUUGAGGGCCGGAGAGGAAGGUGGAAUUCCCGGUGUAGCGGUGGAAUGCGUAGAGAUCGGGAGGAACACCAGUGGCGAAAGCGACCUUCUGGGCGGCGCCUGACACUGAGAUGCGAAAGCGUGGGGAGCAAACGGGAUUAGAUACCCCGGUAGUCCACGCCCUAAACGAUGAGGGCUGGGUGUAGGGUCCAUUCGGACUCUGUGCCGAAGCUAACGCGUUAAGCCCUCCGCCUGGGGACUACGAGCGCAAGCUUAAA